GUACUUACCUGGCAGGGGCAAUACCAUGAUUAAGGAGGUGGUUUGCCCAAAGCGAUGCUCAGCCAUUGCACUCAGGCUUUGCUGACCUUUGCGAAUUCCCCAAAUGCGGGAAUCUCGACUGCAUAAUCAGUGAUAGUGGGGGAAUGUGUUCACACUCUCCCCUU
This is a small nuclear RNA of Hemibagrus wyckioides, 164 nucleotides long. RefSeq annotates it as U1 spliceosomal RNA. Lineage: Eukaryota; Metazoa; Chordata; Actinopteri; Siluriformes; Bagridae. The record is from RefSeq and is a predicted model, not a curated record. The transcript has a single exon.